RNAcentral lists this ribosomal RNA (254 nucleotides) under uncultured bacterium. RNAcentral describes it as "partial 16S ribosomal RNA". It matches the Rfam family "Bacterial small subunit ribosomal RNA", at positions 524 to 776 of the family's 1533-position model. The record is from RNAcentral.
UACGGAGGGAGCUAGCGUUGUUUGGAAUUACUGGGCGUAAAGCGCGCGUAGGCGGUUUUUUAAGUCAGAGGUGAAAGCCCAGUGCUCAACACUGGAACUGCCUUUGAAACUGGAAAACUUGAAUCUUGGAGAGGUCAGUGGAAUUCCGAGUGUAGAGGUGAAAUUCGUAGAUAUUCGGAAGAACACCAGUGGCGAAGGCGGCUCAACUGGGCUGACCUUGGCGCUGAGGCGCGAAGGCGUGGGGAGCGAACGGG